Molecule: ribosomal RNA, 510 nt
Filed under: uncultured bacterium
Lineage: Bacteria
Description: bacterial SSU rRNA
Rfam family: Bacterial small subunit ribosomal RNA
Source: RNAcentral
UGGCUCAGGAUGAACGCUAGCUACAGGCUUAACACAUGCAAGUCGAGGGGCAGCAUGGUCUUAGCUUGCUAAGACUGAUGGCGACCGGCGCACGGGUGAGUAACGCGUAUCCAACCUGGCCCGCAGUAGGGAACAGCCCGGCGAAAGUCGGAUUAAUGCCCUAUGUCUUCCUUUGCAGGCAUCCAAUGAGGAAGAAAGAUUUAUCGCUGCGGGAUGGGGAUGCGUCUGAUUAGCUUGUCGGCGGGGUAACGGCCCACCGAGGCGACGAUCAGUAGGGGUUCUGAGAGGAAGGUCCCCCACACUGGUACUGAGACACGGACUAGACUCCUACGGGAGGCAGCAGUGAGGAAUAUUGGUCAAUGGGCGAGAGCCUGAACCAGCCAAGUAGCGUGCAAGGACGACUGCCCUAUGGGUUGUAAACUGCUUUUAUGCGGGGAUAAACUUCAGCACGUGUGCUGUUUUGCAGGUACCGCAUGAAUAAGGACCGGCUAAUUCCGUGCCAGCCGCGGC